Molecule: ribosomal RNA, 440 nt
Filed under: uncultured bacterium
Lineage: Bacteria
Description: partial 16S ribosomal RNA
Rfam family: Bacterial small subunit ribosomal RNA
Source: RNAcentral
CCUACGGGAGGCAGCAGUGGGGAAUAUUGCACAAUGGGGGAAACCCUGAUGCAGCGACGCCGCGUGAGUGAUGAAGUACUUCGUUAUGUAAAGCUCUAUCAGCAGGGAAGAAAAUGACGGUACCUGAGUAAGAAGCCCCGGCUAACUACGUGCCAGCAGCCGCGGUAAUACGUAGGGGGCAAGCGUUAUCCGGAUUUACUGGGUGUAAAGGGAGCGUAGACGGCAGUGCAAGUCUGGAGUGAAAGGCGGGGGCUCAACCCCCGGACUGCUAUGGAAACUGUACGGCUUGAGUGCAGGAGAGGUAAGUGGAAUUCCUGGUGUAGCGGUGAAAUGCGUAGAUAUGAGGAGGAACACCAGUGGCGAAGGCGGCUUACUGGACUGUAACUGACGCUGAGGCUCGAAAGCGUGGGGAGCAAACAGGAUUAGAUACCCCAGUAGUC